Long non-coding RNA from Mesoplodon densirostris (Blainville's beaked whale), 829 nucleotides. RefSeq lists it as uncharacterized. The record is from RefSeq and is a predicted model, not a curated record. The transcript has 7 exons. NCBI's taxonomy places the organism in Eukaryota, Metazoa, Chordata, Mammalia, Artiodactyla, Ziphiidae.
CUGUCCUCAAGACGGAACAUUCCUGUUUCCAGGCGCUGUUUGCGUCUCCCUGGUCCUGAUGGAGGGAGGCUACCUGAGUGCAGGAAACAAACACGUCUCGACUGUAACCUCAGCAUUUAGCUGGGGUGCGCCCAGGAUGCCAGUGUUCCCCAGGAACUCCGUUUGAAAACCACUGAACUAGAGUUCGGAAGUUAAAAAAACUUCUCAGUCUCCCGCCUCUGUGAAGUUUGCCCAUCUGUCUGGAAAAAGGCAGUUCAGGCCAUGUUUUUCCCAAGCAAUAGAAAAAGCCAGUCUCAACAAAGUGAGAAGUUUGUCGUAAGAAGCUGGAAGUUUACUUAAAGAGAUAUUUCAACAACCUAUGUCUUCGAAAGUGGUGGAAUUUUUCUUGGAGUAUACCUGCACCAGUAUGCCCACCUUGAUUUAAUCGUAUGGGGGUCUACAAGUCUUGUUUGUAAAAUGUGUCAAGCUCGAGGAAGAAAAGGAUAUACUAUGAUGUCCCCACUUGUGUUCCUGACAUUGAGUUUUUGCGUCAUGAAGUUUGAAGUCCUGUUAUUAGGUGCAUACAUAUUUAGGACUGAAAUGUCUUCUUGAUGAGGCUCCAGAUGCGCAGGCUCAGCUGCCAUGGCUCACGGGCCCAGCCGCUCUGCGGCAUGUGGGAUCUUCCCGGACCGGAGCACGAACCCAUGUCCCCUGCAUCGGCAGGCAGACUCUCAACCACUGCGCCACCAGAGAAGCCUUGUAUAUAUUUUUAGCUUAUUAUAAUUUACCCCCAAAUAAUAUUAUGCCAUUUCACAUAUUGUGUUAACUUUAUGAUGGUAUUCUUCCAUUA